GAUAAACGCUGGCGGCGUGCAUAACACAUGCAAGUCGAACGAAGUGGCGAACGGGUGAGUAACACGUGCGUAACCUGCCUUACACCAGGGGAUAGCCUUUGGAAACGAAGAAUAAUAACCUAUAGUGUAAGAUGGCCUUGCGUCUGAUUAGCUAGUUGGUGAGAUAAAAGCCCACCAAGGUGACGAUCAGUAGCCGGCUUUAGGGAGUGUACGGCCACCUUGGGGCUGAGACACGGCCCAAACUCUACGGGUGGCAGCAGUGGUGAAUUUUGCACAAUGGGGGAAGCCCUGAUGCAGCGACGCCGCGUGAUUUAGAAGGCCUUCGGGUUGUAAAAAUCUUUUUUAUGGGAUGCAGUACCAUAAGAAUAAGGUCCGGCUAAAUACGUGCCAGCAGCCGCGGUAAUAC
This 406-nucleotide ribosomal RNA is filed under the name uncultured bacterium. RNAcentral describes it as "partial 16S ribosomal RNA". It matches the Rfam family "Bacterial small subunit ribosomal RNA", at positions 28 to 526 of the family's 1533-position model. The record is from RNAcentral.